Bos taurus (domestic cattle) is the source of this 1296-nucleotide long non-coding RNA. Lineage: Eukaryota; Metazoa; Chordata; Mammalia; Artiodactyla; Bovidae. The record is from Ensembl.
CGCGGGCUUCCUUCCUAGGGGGCGCUGCGGAGCGCGGGCGGAGGCGCGCGCGCAGGCGCGCGCGCCAGGCCUCGGGACUCUUUUGCCCUCUCAGGGCGGAAGGAACGCUGUCGGCCAGCGGGAAGGGUCCUUGCCUAUCCGAGGCCUCAGCGGCCCGGGAGCGGCCCCCGCCCCUUUAAUCUUUUCUGAGCGGGGCGUCGCGGCAGCGCAGCCCUUUUGAGAUGCCGCGGAGGGUCGGCCGCCGGGUUUCAGGGCUUCCCCGCCUGCGUCGAGGGGAGUGGGCGUUGUCCGUGGUGAAAUAAAAACUGGGAAGGGAUCUUCGCCCAGUUGGCGCUUUCUCAGCGCGCUGACCUGUGGUCGAGGCUUGGAGCCGACCUCUGGAGAGGGCAGAGGCCCCAAGCGGAGAUUUCUUUUCUAGAUCAAUACUGAAUGGAUCAAAUCGGAAAGAAGCCUCUCUGGCCAGAAAAAGAAGAAAUAACAUCCUUAAAGGAGGAACGUGUAAAUCAGGAAUUGAGCCAAGAAAAGCAUGGGAGGCUACUCCUCUGUCUUCCUCCUUCUCAAUGUAGUUUUGCUCCUUGAGAGAAUAUAGGACCUACAUCAAGUCCUGAAAUACCAGGCUAGAUGAACCACAAGCUGGAAUCAAGAUUUCCGGGACAAAUACCAACAACUUCAGAUAUGCAAACACUCUAAUAUCAGAAAGUAAAGAGGAACUAAAGAGCCUCUUGAUGAGGGUAAAAAAGGAGAAUGAAAAAGCUGGCUUAAAACUCAGCUUUCAAAAAACCAAGACCAUGGCAUCCAGUCCCAUCACCAUGGCAAAUAGAAGCAGUGACAGAUUUUAUUUUCUUGGGCUCUAAAACCACUGUGGAUGGUGACUGCAGCCAUGAAAUUAAAAGCCACUUGCUCCUUGAAAGGAAAGCUAUGAUAAACUUAGCAUAUUAAAAAGCAGAGGCAUCAUUUUGCCAACAAAGAUCUAUGUGGUCAAAGCUAUGAUUUUUCCAGUAGUCAUGUACAGAUGUGAGAGUUGGACCAUAAGGAAGGCUGAGUGCCAAAGAAUUGAUGUUUUUGAAUUGUGCUGGAGAAGAUGCUUGAGAGACCUUUGGACAGCAAGGAGAUCAAACCAGUCAAUCCUAAAGAAAAUUACCCCUGAAUAUUCAUUGGAAGGACUGAUGCUGAAGCUGAAGCUCCAAUACUUUGGCCACCAGAUGUGAAGACCUGAUUCACUGGAAAAGACUCAUGCUGGGAAAGAUUGAAAGCAAAAAGAAGAGGGAGGCAGAGGAUGAGAUGGUUAGAUAACAU